This 460-nucleotide ribosomal RNA is filed under the name uncultured bacterium. Its description in RNAcentral is "partial 16S ribosomal RNA". It matches the Rfam family "Bacterial small subunit ribosomal RNA", at positions 338 to 795 of the family's 1533-position model. The record is from RNAcentral.
CCUACGGGAGGCAGCAGUGAGGAAUAUUGGUCAAUGGGCGGAAGCCUGAACCAGCCAAGUAGCGUGCAGGAUGACGGCCCUACGGGUUGUAAACUGCUUUUAUACGGGAAUAACGCGCCUUACGUGUAGGGCUUUGCAUGUACCGUAUGAAUAAGGACCGGCUAAUUCCGUGCCAGCAGCCGCGGUAAUACGGAAGGUCCGGGCGUUAUCCGGAUUUAUUGGGUUUAAAGGGAGCGUAGGCCGCAUGUCAAGCGUGCUGUGAAAUGUCCGGGCUCAACCCGGGCCUUGCAGCGCGAACUGGCGUGCUUGAGUCCGCGGAAAGCAGGCGGAAUUCGUCGUGUAGCGGUGAAAUGCUUAGAUAUGACGAAGAACCCCGAUUGCGAAGGCAGCCUGCUGCAGCGGAACUGACGCUGAUGCUCGAAAGCGCGGGUAUCGAACAGGAUUAGAUACCCGGGUAGUC